UUUUCCGUUGAUCCUGCCGGAGGUCACUGCUAUUGGGAUUCGACUAAGCCAUGCGAGUCGAGAGGGUUCGGCCCUCGGCUGACGGCUCAGUAACACGUGGAUAAUCUACCCUAAGGUGGAGGAUAAUCUCGGGAAACUGAGAAUAAUACUCCAUAAGUCUAGGAUACUGGAAUGUACUUAGGCUGAAAACUUCGGUGCCUUAGGAUGAGUCUGCGGACUAUCAGGUUGUAGUCAGGGUAAAGACCUGACUAGCCUACGACGGAUACGGGUUGUGAGAGCAAUGACCCGGAGAUGAUAUCUGAGACACGAUAUCAGGCCCUACGGGGCGCAGCAGGCGCGAAAACUUCACACUGCGCGAAAGCGCGAUGAGGGAAUCCCAAGUGCUUGCACGUAAGUGUAAGCUGUUUCUAUGUCUAAAAAGCAUGGAGAGUAAGAGCUGGGUAAGACGGGUGCCAGCCGCCGCGGUAAUACCUGCAGCUCAAGUGGUGGCCGUUAUUAUUGGGCCUAAAACGUCCGUAGCCGGUUUAUUAAAUGCCUGGGUAAAUCGGGCCGCUUAACGGUUCGAAUUCCGGGUAGACUGAUAGACUUGGGACUGGGAGAGGCUAGAGGUACUCCUGGGGUAGAGGUGAAAUUCUGUAAUCCUAGGGGGACCACCAGUGGCGAAAGCGUCUAGCUAGAACGGGUCUGACGGUGAGGGACGAAGCCCUGGGGCGCAAACCGGAUUAGAUACCCGGGUAGUCCAGGGUGUAAACGCUGCUUGCUUGAUGUUAGUCGGGCUCCGAGCCCGAUUAGUGUCGGAGAGAAGUUGUUAAGCAAGCUGCCUGGGAAGUACGGCCGCAAGACUGAAACUUAAAGGAAUUGGCGGGGGAGCACAGCAACGGGUGGAGCGUGCGGUUUAAUUGGAUUCAACGCCGGGAAUCACUAGU
RNAcentral lists this ribosomal RNA (926 nucleotides) under uncultured archaeon. Its description in RNAcentral is "bacterial SSU rRNA". It matches the Rfam family "Archaeal small subunit ribosomal RNA", at positions 1 to 934 of the family's 1478-position model. The record is from RNAcentral.